GUAGGUGGCAAGCGUUGUCCGGAAUUAUUGGGCGUAAAGCGCGCGCAGGCGGUCCUUUAAGUCUGAUGUGAAACGCCCACGGCUCAACCGUGGAGGGUCAUUGGAAACUGGGGGACUUGAGUACAGAAGAGGAAAGCGGAAUUCCAAGUGUAGCGGUGAAAUGCGUAGAGAUUUGGAGGAACACCAGUGGCGAAGGCGGCUUUCUGGUCUGUAACUGACGCUGAGGCGCGAAAGCGUGGGGAGCAAACAGGAUUAGAUACCCUGGUAGUCCACGCCGUAAACGAUGAGUGCUAAGUGUUAGGGGGUUUCCCGCCCCCCUUAGUGCUGCAGCUAACGCAUUAAGCACUCCGCCUGGGGAGUACGGCCGCAAGGCUG
This 375-nucleotide ribosomal RNA is filed under the name uncultured organism. RNAcentral's name for it is "partial 16S ribosomal RNA". It matches the Rfam family "Bacterial small subunit ribosomal RNA", at positions 527 to 896 of the family's 1533-position model. The record is from RNAcentral.